GGCCCAUACAACGGGCUUAAAGUGAAUUUGCUACAGCGUGUUUUAAUGGAAGUGACAUAACCUUAUGGUUAUGCAUCAAGUUUUAUAAAGUGACUUAGGACAUGGCUUGUUUUAGGCAAACAUUUAAAUAAUAUUUUAAGUGUGCUAUGGAGCUGUGAAGAUCAGAAACGUGGGGAGAACAAGGUUUUGGCCAUUGUGACGGAUAGUGCCGCAUAUAUGCUGAAGGCCGCAAAGUGUCUGGGGGUGUUUUACCCUAAAAUUAUGCACCUCACGUGUCUGGCUCAUGGCAUUCAUCGAGUCGCUGAAGAGGUCAGAGCCACAUUGCCAGAGGUCAACAGCUUUCAAGACUGCUCACCAUGACUGUCCUCUGCCACCUGAACCAGUCUUGACGAGGUGGGGAACGUGGAUUUCAGCUGCAAACUAUUAUGCAGACAACCACAGAAAAGUUGAAGAGGUACUAAAGGGUUUUGAAGAUAGCGAAAAUUUAGCCAUACCAAAAGCCAUGGACGCAUUGAAGAAUUCCAGCGUGUUACACAGCCUAUCUUUCAUCCGAGCGCACUUGGGUGGCCUUCCAGACCUAAUUGAGAAACUUGAGACUCGUAACAAGGAAGUUGCUAAGGUAGGCUCGACGAAGGACUCAAGACACAGAGCAAGAAUUGGCCAGGUCCGAUCGAUGAGCGACUUAGAAGAAAAUUGGAUGCAGUUUUCCAUAAAAAUCCCGGUUGGCCUACGAUUCAGAAGAUCGUUCAGUUACCGGAAGAAGAGAAACGCUCCGAGAUUCUAAAUGAUUUCACGUCGUCUAAUGUCGCUGCUCUUAAAUUUUUACCUGUAGUGUCAUGUGAUGUUGAACGAUCAUUUUCAAGAUUGAAAAUGUUAUUAUCUGGCCACAGGAAAAAUUUUCAUGUAGAGAAUAUGGAAAAAUGUUGGUAGUUCAAACAAACUCUAAUUUUUAGAAUUUACCAAACUUAUUGUGUAUGUACCUAUGUUAUACUUCAUUUUAUUCAUUGAA
Long non-coding RNA from Schistocerca cancellata (South American locust), 1009 nucleotides. RefSeq lists it as uncharacterized. The record is from RefSeq and is a predicted model, not a curated record. NCBI's taxonomy places the organism in Eukaryota, Metazoa, Arthropoda, Insecta, Orthoptera, Acrididae. The transcript is spliced from 3 exons.